This 360-nucleotide ribosomal RNA is filed under the name uncultured bacterium. RNAcentral's name for it is "partial 16S ribosomal RNA". It matches the Rfam family "Bacterial small subunit ribosomal RNA", at positions 338 to 709 of the family's 1533-position model. The record is from RNAcentral.
CCUACGGGUGGCUGCAGUCGAGAAUCAUUCACAAUGGGGGAAACCCUGAUGCUGCGACGCCGCGUGGGGGAAUGAAGGUCUUCGGAUUGUAAACCCCUGUCAUGUGGGAGCAAAUUAAAAAGAUAGUACCACAAGAGGAAGAGACGGCUAACGCUGUGCCAGCAGCCGCGGUCAUACAGAGGGCUCAAGCGUUGUUCGGAAUCACUGGGCGUAAAGCGUGCGUAGGCUGUUUCGUAAGUCGUGUGUGAAAGGCGCGGGAUCAACCCGCGGAGGGCACUUGAUACUGCCAGACUAGAGUAGGGGAGGAGGAACCGGAAUGCUCGGUGUAGCAGUGAAAUGCAUAGAUAUCGAGAAGAACAC